UGUGUCUCUCUCAGGAGCAAAGAAUUUGUCCCAGAAGCUCCCAUGGCCUUCUCCUUGUCUGUUUGGUCCCCUUGAGUCAAUCAUUGAGAAAGAGGAUGGGCGUACAAUGAAAGUGUUAGCCAAGUCAGGUUUGCCCCUGAGCUGUUAAAGGAUCCAGAUCCCACAGGAGUGGAUACUCCAGUGACGUGGAAAUGGCAGUGCAGCAAGAGUCAAAUGUGUCUCAUAGAGACUAAGAUGUCUUCACCAGCCACCUCCCCUUCAGCAAUGACUCUGAUCACGUUUCUAUAGUGUCAUCCUUCUCUCCCUGGCCUGUGCUUUGAAGGCAGCAGGUGUCAGAUGUAGUCACUUCUGAAGUUCAUCAUCCAAGUGGGCAUCUUUGACCUGCUCUACUGGACUGACUGCAAAAAUGCCUCAUCCCCUGCUUGGUCCAUAGUGAUGCCAGCCUGUGGUUAUUGGAACCUGGUCUGCCAGACCAAAUGGAGGAAGUCUGCCAGGCAGAUGUGGAACCCAAAAGAGGAACUUCACCAACUGCUGUGGACAGCUCUAGCGCUUCAUGCCCCCGUGGACUUUUGGGGAAGUAUUUUUGUGGCUCACCAGUCUCUCAUUAGGCAAAGGUCACAUGUCCUGUCUUGGCCUUCUCUACUGGUGGAAAGUACGGCUGGGAGAUUUGGAAUGGUUGCUGUUUGACUUUGAUUCUUGGCACGACUGUCACCAUGAGCUUUUUUGGAUUGCUUCAUGGUCACAAGAUGGCUGUUGGAGAUCCAGUCUUCGUGUCUCAAACAGGAAGAAGGAGAAAGGGCCAAAUGCAAAUGGUACAUAAUAGCAGAGUAUAUACCCUCUUUGAAUGAUUUCCUGGAAGCCCCACACCAAG
This 871-nucleotide long non-coding RNA is filed under the name Monodon monoceros (narwhal). Its description in RNAcentral is "lncRNA (ENSMMNG00015005059.1)". The record is from RNAcentral. Lineage: Eukaryota; Metazoa; Chordata; Mammalia; Artiodactyla; Monodontidae.